CUUCGGGGCGGGGUGCAAUUCCCCACCGGCGGUAUAGCCCGCGAGCGCACAGCGCAGAACCGGUUGGAUUCCGGUGCCGACAGUACAGUCUGGAUGGAAGAAGUC
This 105-nucleotide non-coding RNA is filed under the name bovine gut metagenome. Its description in RNAcentral is "FMN riboswitch (RFN element)". It matches the Rfam family "FMN riboswitch aptamer (RFN element)". From Rfam's summary of the family: The RFN element is a highly conserved domain that is found frequently in the 5'-untranslated regions of prokaryotic mRNAs that encode for flavin mononucleotide (FMN) biosynthesis and transport proteins. The record is from RNAcentral.